RNAcentral lists this long non-coding RNA (1025 nucleotides) under Bos grunniens (domestic yak). Its description in RNAcentral is "lncRNA (ENSBGRG00000003002.1)". The record is from RNAcentral. Lineage: Eukaryota; Metazoa; Chordata; Mammalia; Artiodactyla; Bovidae.
CAGCAGUAAAGAAUCUACCUGCAAUGCAGGAGAUGCGGGUUUCAUCCCCGCGUCAGGAAGAUUCCCUGGAGGAGGGCAUGGCAACCCACUCCAGUAUUGGAGUUCUCUUGCCUGGAAAAUUCCAUGGAUAGAGGAGCCUGGCAGGCUACAGUCCAUGGUGUCGCAAAGAGUUGGACUUGACUGAGCGACUAAUACACACACAAGUUAUAUUUCAAAUCCUUUAAGUCAGCUUAUACUAAAAAUUAGUUUUAUAAUCAAAAUUGCCUCUUUUGCGUAAUUGUUUAAUUUCUGCUAAACAUCAUGAUGCUUGAAGUUAGAUGGAAUUGGAAAUUGUUUCCAAAGUAUAUUCCAUUGCAUUAGUCUGGCUGUAGACAAUACCAGGAAAAAAAAAAAAGCAUUUAAAUUAAAAGACUAUGUAGUUCUUUGACAGAGUUGCUUAUUGAAUAGUUUGUUCUUAGAUUAGAGCAAGAGUUUUUAAGUUGGGAUUAAUUUAUUUUCCUCCUAUAUAUGUAUUUUUCCUUAUAUUUUCAAAACUGUUAUUGAGAAUGUGUCAAGAUCAUUGAGAAAACUUUACAGUUUAUAAGAACGUGCACUCAACCUCUGAAUCCCACAAGAAAUGCUAAGGUAGCUCACUGGUUUACUUCUAGCAAUAGCAUGAUGCUACUCACAUGGAUAUUACCUCAGUUGAAACCAGGUAUAACAUGUAAAACCAGUCUCAGCUAUCAUAAUAACUUCUUAGAGGUUAUUUUAUAGGCAAUUCAAGUUAUUGGAAACCUUUUAAAAUUUUCUUAGUUUUAUUAAUAUGAACUACUUUUCUAGGAUUUUUAAAUAAAAGCUGUACAGGUGGCAAGUUGUAGUUUUUUAAGUCUGUAGGGUGAUGAAUCUUACUAGAAGAUUAUGUGAAUUAUUCACAGUUCCUCCAGGCCUGGGGAUAACUGUUAAUUAUACCUAUUUUUGUGUAAUUACAUCAUAUUGUGCAUUACAAAUUGAGAGUUACUAUUUGCUUUUGCACAAUCUGUUCCUUU